GAGGAAAGGGUGUGGGUGUCUGCUCCUGCGCGCAUCGGGUGGGGAGGAAGGCCUCCCAAAGGGCACCCUGCCUUAGGGUGUUGUGCAAGCAUCCUUGCUUGGAUCCUGUCGGCCGUGAGAAUCUCACCCGGGCUCCUGGGCAGUGGUGAAUGCAGUUUAAGGAUAGUCUAUGAGAUACCUUUCUUGGUUGUGCAGACAUGCAUCCCUUCAUCCUUCCGCAGGCGGUCCUGCCUCACAGGGCCUCAGGUUUUGGGUCUGCGGCCAGCUGUGUUUGUUUCUUGGAGCAGUUUAUAAAGAAUUUCAGUUUAUGAUUUGGGCUAGCAGAGAGGGACCCGAGUGUAUAGCCCUCCAGAGUGGAUCCGCUACCAUCGCUACCAUGGCAGGUCGGCGGCAGUCUGGUCCCUGGGGAUCCUGCUAUAUGAUAUGGUGUGUGGAGAUAUUCCUUUCGAGCAUGAUGAAGAGAUCAUCAGGGGCCAGGUUUUCUUCAGGCAGAGGGUCUCUUCAGAAUGUCAGCAUCUCAUUAGAUGGUGCUUGGCCCUGAGACCAUCAGAUAGGCCAACCUUCGAAGAAAUCCAGAACCAUCCAUGGAUGCAAGAUGUUCUCCUGCCCCAGGAAACUGCUGAGAUCCACCUCCACAGCCUGUCGCCGGGGCCCAGCAAAUAGCAGCCUUUCUGGCAGGUCCUCCCCUCUCUGUCAGAUGCCCAAGGGAGGGGAAACUUCUGUCUCCAGCUUCCCGAGUACCAGUGACACUUCUCGCCAAGCAGGACAGUGCUUGAUACAGGAACAACAUUUACAACUCAUUCCAGAUCCUAGGCCUC
This 818-nucleotide small RNA is filed under the name Pongo abelii (Sumatran orangutan). RNAcentral describes it as "processed transcript". Lineage: Eukaryota; Metazoa; Chordata; Mammalia; Primates; Hominidae. The record is from RNAcentral.